CCAAGUCUUGACAUCCUUUGACCACUCUAGAGAUAGAGCUUUCCCUUCGGGGACAAAGUGACAGGUGGUGCAUGGUUGUCGUCAGCUCGUGUCGUGAGAUGUUGGGUUAAGUCCCGCAACGAGCGCAACCCUUAUUACUAGUUGCCAGCAUUCGGUUGGGCACUCUAGUGAGACUGCCGGUGACAAACCGGAGGAAGGUGGGGAUGACGUCAAAUCAUCAUGCCCCUUAUGACUUGGGCUACACACGUGCUACAAUGGAUGGUACAACGAGCAGCGAACUCGCGAGGGUAAGCGAAUCUCUUAAAGCCAUUCUCAGUUCGGAUUGUAGGCUGCAACUCGCCUACAUGAAGCCGGAAUCGCUAGUAAUCGCGGAUCAGCACGCCGCGGUGAAUACGUUCCC
Molecule: ribosomal RNA, 400 nt
Filed under: uncultured bacterium
Lineage: Bacteria
Description: bacterial SSU rRNA
Rfam family: Bacterial small subunit ribosomal RNA
Source: RNAcentral